This 587-nucleotide ribosomal RNA is filed under the name uncultured Funneliformis. RNAcentral's name for it is "LSU rRNA". It matches the Rfam family "Eukaryotic large subunit ribosomal RNA", at positions 204 to 637 of the family's 3401-position model. The record is from RNAcentral. Lineage: Eukaryota; Fungi; Glomeromycota; Glomeromycetes; Glomerales; Glomeraceae.
CAUGGAGGGUGAGAAUCCCGUUCAUGGUUAAUCUUAAGGAAGCUCUACGAUACGUUUUCCAAGAGUCGAGUUGUUUGGGAUUGCAGCUCAAAAUGGGAGGUAAAUUUCUCCUAAGGCUAAAUAUUGGCGAGAGACCGAUAGCGAACAAGUACCGUGAGGGAAAGAUGAAAAGAACUUUGAAAAGAGAGUUAAACAGUACGUGAAAUUGUUGAAAGGGAAACGAUUGAAGUCAGUCAUACCAACGGGAAAUCAACCUCUUGAGCUCGGUCUCGUGGGUUUUGAAGAGUUUCAAAGCCUUCGGAUUCGCGGGAUUGGGAUCUCUUGGUGUACUUUUUCGUACGGUUAGUCAACAUCGGUUUUGAAUGUCAUAAAAUGACUGGAGGAAUGUAGCUUCGAUCUCGUAUUGAAGUGUUAUAGCCUUUGGUAGAUGUGAUGUUUGAGACCGAGGAUUGCAACGGAUACCCUUCAGGGCUAUUCGUCUGAUCUCUGAUACGUUGCCUUGAUGUUGAAAGCUUGCUUAUGAUGUUAGGGUAUUACGGUCAAAAGGUUAGAACGGAUUACAUUCGUUAAGGAUGUUGACGUAAUGG